This 497-nucleotide ribosomal RNA is filed under the name uncultured bacterium. Its description in RNAcentral is "partial 16S ribosomal RNA". It matches the Rfam family "Bacterial small subunit ribosomal RNA", at positions 28 to 507 of the family's 1533-position model. The record is from RNAcentral.
GAUGAACGCUGGCGGCGUGCCUAAUACAUGCAAGUCGAGCGAACGGACGAGAAGCUUGCUUCUCUGAUGUUAGCGGCGGACGGGUGAGUAACACGUGGAUAACCUACCUAUAAGACUGGGAUAACUUCGGGAAACCGGAGCUAAUACCGGAUGAUAUUUUGAACCGCAUGGUUCAAGAGUGAAAGACGGUCUUGGUGUCACUUAUAGAUGGAUCCGCGCUGCAUUAGCUAGUUGGUAAGGUAACGGCUUACCAAGGCAACGAUGCAUAGCCGACCUGAGAGGGUGAUCGGCCACACUGGAACUGAGACACGGUCCAGACUCCUACGGGAGGCAGCAGUAGGGAAUCUUCCGCAAUGGGCGAAAGCCUGACGGAGCAACGCCGCGUGAGUGAUGAAGGUCUUCGGAUCGUAAAACUCUGUUAUUAGGGAAGAACAUAUGUGUAAGUAACUGUGCACAUCUUGACGGUACCUAAUCAGAAAGCCACGGCUAACUACGUG